UACGUAGGGUGCAAGCGUUGUCCGGAAUUAUUGGGCGUAAAGAGCUCGUAGGCGGUUUGUCGCGUCUGCUGUGAAAACCCGAGGCUCAACCUCGGGCCUGCAGUGGGUACGGGCAAACUAGAGUGCGGUAGGGGAGAAUGGAAUUCCUGGUGUAGCGGUGGAAUGCGCAGAUAUCAGGAGGAACACCGAUGGCGAAGGCAGUUCUCUGGGCCGUAGCUGACGCUGAGGCGCGACAGCGUGGGGAGCAAACAGG
This 253-nucleotide ribosomal RNA is filed under the name uncultured bacterium. RNAcentral describes it as "partial 16S ribosomal RNA". It matches the Rfam family "Bacterial small subunit ribosomal RNA", at positions 524 to 776 of the family's 1533-position model. The record is from RNAcentral.